GAUGAACGCUGGCGGCGUGCCUAAUACAUGCAAGUCGAGCGAACAGACGACAGGUUUGUGCCUUUGUCGUGUGCGGCGGACGUGUGAGUAACACGUGGAUAACCCACUUAUAUGACUGGUAUAACUGCGGGAAACCGUAUCUAAUACCGUAUAAUAUAUUUAAUCGUAUGGUUCAGUGGUGAAAUACUGUUUGUCUGUCACUUAUACAUCCUUUCGUGCUGCUUUAGAUAGGUUGUAAGGUAACGGCUUAGCAAGGCAACGAUGCGUAGCCGAACUGAGAGAGUGAUCGGCCACACUAGAGCUGAGACGCGGUCAAGACGCCUAAGGGAGGCAGCAGUCGGGAAUCUUACGCAAUGGGCGAGAACAUGACGGAACAACGCCAAGUCAGUGAUGGAGGUGUUCGGAGCGUAAAAAUCUGUUAUUAGGGAAGAACCUCUGUGUAAGUAAAUGUGCACGAAUUGACGGUACCUACACAGAAAGCAACGGCUAACUACGUG
This 497-nucleotide ribosomal RNA is filed under the name uncultured bacterium. RNAcentral's name for it is "partial 16S ribosomal RNA". It matches the Rfam family "Bacterial small subunit ribosomal RNA", at positions 28 to 507 of the family's 1533-position model. The record is from RNAcentral.